CAGUAGCCACGGGAAUACGAAGGGUGCAAGCGUUAAUCGGAAUUACUGGGCGUAAAGCGUGCGUAGGUGGUGGUUUAAGUCCGUUGUGAAAGCCCUGGGCUCAACCUGGGAAUUGCAGUGGAUACUGGGUCACUAGAGUGUGGUAGAGGAUAGUGGAAUUUCCGGUGUAGCAGUGAAAUGCGUAGAGAUCGGAAGGAACAUCUGUGGCGAAGGCGACUAUCUGGGCCAACACUGACACUGAGGCACGAAAGCGUGGGGAGCAAACAGGAUUAGAGACCCGCGUAGUCCCUGUCUCUUAUAA
RNAcentral lists this ribosomal RNA (301 nucleotides) under uncultured bacterium. RNAcentral's name for it is "partial 16S ribosomal RNA". It matches the Rfam family "Bacterial small subunit ribosomal RNA", at positions 509 to 809 of the family's 1533-position model. The record is from RNAcentral.